Molecule: ribosomal RNA, 387 nt
Filed under: uncultured bacterium
Lineage: Bacteria
Description: bacterial SSU rRNA
Rfam family: Bacterial small subunit ribosomal RNA
Source: RNAcentral
AUUGAACGCUGGCGGCAUGCCUUACACAUGCAAGUCGAACGGCAGCACGGGAGCAAUCCUGGUGGCGAGUGGCGAACGGGUGAGUAAUAUAUCGGAACGUGCCCAGUCGUGGGGAUAACGUAGCGAAAGCUACGCUAAUACCGCAUACGAUCUAUGGAUGAAAGCGGGGGAUCGCAAGACCUCGCGCGAUUGGAGCGGCCGAUAUCAGAUUAGGUAGUUGGUGAGGUAAAGGCUCACCAAGCCGACGAUCUGUAGCUGGUCUGAGAGGACGACCAGCCACACUGGGACUGAGACACGGCCCAGACUCCUACGGAGGCAGCAGUGGGGAAUUUUUGGACAAUGGGCGCAAGCCUGAUCCAGCAAUGCCGCGUGCAGGAUGAAGGCCUU